CCUACGGGAGGCAGCAGUGGGGAAUAUUGCACAAUGGGCGCAAGCCUGAUGCAGCCAUGCCGCGUGUAUGAAGAAGGCCUUCGGGUUGUAAAGUACUUUCAGCGGGGAGGAAGGCGACGGGGUUAAUAACCCCGUCGAUUGACGUUACCCGCAGAAGAAGCACCGGCUAACUCCGUGCCAGCAGCCGCGGUAAU
RNAcentral lists this ribosomal RNA (194 nucleotides) under uncultured bacterium. RNAcentral's name for it is "partial 16S ribosomal RNA". It matches the Rfam family "Bacterial small subunit ribosomal RNA", at positions 338 to 524 of the family's 1533-position model. The record is from RNAcentral.